This 424-nucleotide ribosomal RNA is filed under the name uncultured bacterium. RNAcentral describes it as "bacterial SSU rRNA". It matches the Rfam family "Bacterial small subunit ribosomal RNA", at positions 355 to 776 of the family's 1533-position model. The record is from RNAcentral.
UGGGGAAUCUUGGACAAUGGGCGAAAGCCUGAUCCAGCGACGCCGCGUGGAGGAAGAAGUCCUUCGGGAUGUAAACUUCUGAACUAGCCGAAUAAAAGGCCUGUGGACACACAGGAGAAGAAAGUAGGCUAGGAAAAGUCCCGGCUAACUACGUGCCAGCAGCCGCGGUAAGACGUAGGGGGCAAGCGUUACCCGGAAUUACUGGGCGUAAAGGGGGCGUAGGCGGUAAAAGAAGUCAUCUGUGAAAACCUAUUGCUCAACGAUAGGCUAGCGGAUGAAACUGAAUUACUUGAGGGCACCAGAGGUAGACGGAAUUACCCGAGUAGGGGUGAAAUCCGCAGAUACGGGUAGGAACGCCGGUGGAGAAGUCGGUCUACUGGGGUGCACCAGACGCUGAGGCCCGAAAGCUAGGGGAGCAAACCGG